GAUGAACGCUGGCGGUAUGCUUAACACAUGCAAGUCGAACGGUUUCUUCGGACAUAUUUUCGGACGGGUGAGUAACGCGUUAGAAUCUAACGAUUUGUUCGGGACAACCACUUUAAACGGUUGCUAAUACCGGAUAAGCUGAAAUGUGAAAGAUUAAUUGCCAAUUUAAGAGCUCGAGUCUGAUUAGCUUGUUGGUGGGGUAAGAGCCUACCAAGGCGUCGAUCAGUAGCUGGUCUGAGAGGACGAGCAGCCACACUGGGACUGAGACACGGCCCAGAAUACGACGGGAGGAAGGAGUGGGGAAUAUUACGAAAUGGGCGAAAGGCUGAAGGAGAAAUACCGGGUGAGGGAGGAAGGGGGUUGGGAUGUAAAACUAUUGUAUAUGGGAAGAUAAUGACGGUAACAGAGGAAUAAGCAUCGGCUAACUCCGUG
This 432-nucleotide ribosomal RNA is filed under the name uncultured bacterium. RNAcentral's name for it is "partial 16S ribosomal RNA". It matches the Rfam family "Bacterial small subunit ribosomal RNA", at positions 28 to 507 of the family's 1533-position model. The record is from RNAcentral.